This 522-nucleotide ribosomal RNA is filed under the name Trichoderma harzianum. Its description in RNAcentral is "eukaryotic LSU rRNA". The stretch from base 162 to 315 matches the Rfam family "5.8S ribosomal RNA". Lineage: Eukaryota; Fungi; Ascomycota; Sordariomycetes; Hypocreales; Hypocreaceae. The record is from RNAcentral.
ACUGUUGCCUCGGCGGGAUCUCUGCCCCGGGUGCGUCGCAGCCCCGGACCAAGGCGCCCGCCGGAGGACCAACCAAAACUCUUAUUGUAUACCCCCUCGCGGGUUUUUUUAUAAUCUGAGCCUUCUCGGCGCCUCUCGUAGGCGUUUCGAAAAUGAAUCAAAACUUUCAACAACGGAUCUCUUGGUUCUGGCAUCGAUGAAGAACGCAGCGAAAUGCGAUAAGUAAUGUGAAUUGCAGAAUUCAGUGAAUCAUCGAAUCUUUGAACGCACAUUGCGCCCGCCAGUAUUCUGGCGGGCAUGCCUGUCCGAGCGUCAUUUCAACCCUCGAACCCCUCCGGGGGGUCGGCGUUGGGGAUCGGCCCUGCCUUGGCGGUGGCCGUCUCCGAAAUACAGUGGCGGUCUCGCCGCAGCCUCUCCUGCGCAGUAGUUUGCACACUCGCAUCGGGAGCGCGGCGCGUCCACAGCCGUUAAACACCCAACUUCUGAAAUGUUGACCUCGGAUCAGGUAGGAAUACCCGCUGA